Molecule: long non-coding RNA, 498 nt
Filed under: Triticum aestivum (bread wheat)
Lineage: Eukaryota; Viridiplantae; Streptophyta; Magnoliopsida; Poales; Poaceae
Description: long non-coding RNA (TAES_LNC016620)
Source: RNAcentral
UGCAUCUGUACGUUUGAUUGGUAAUAGCAUGCUUUGUUGAAAGAAACGAGCAUGUGGUGCUCUGCAUUUCCUGACACUAAGUUAGGGCUUACUAAUUUCGAUUGCAAAAAAUCCCAUGAGUGAGAUAGGUACUUCCAAACAGUCCAAUUGUGCACGUACAGUGAGCUGCAUGGGUAGUCUGCACAUCCGAAACCUCAAUUCUUAUAGGUAAACAUAUUCUAUUUGAAACUGAAUAUUGCCAUCCUUUUAAUAUUUAUUUUAUUUUAUUUUUGUUUGGUGACGAAGAUAAUGAGAAAACCACUAGGAAAGAUCUUCUGCAUAAGGAACAUAGCACCCUACAUCACAGUAUAACGAUGAACACAAUGGGUAUGCCAGUAGUUGCUCUUUCAUUCAUACACCAAGUAAUCUUUGUUACCAUAUUCGCUUCUAAAAAAGUAAUCUUCCUCCCUGGCUUUCUAGCAAUUGCAUAACCUGCAGACUUAUUAGAUGUACGAACCA